GUGACCGCCGGCGCUCCGAGAAAUGCGGCAAGCUGGGAGCUUUCCGCGGGCAUACUCUGAUUCACUGCAUAUGGUAGUUCUUGAAGACCGUAUAGCUAAGAACUUAAACCCGCAAAUUAGGAAAGAUGAUACACUCGCCUGGAAGGAGCAAAUUGACCAAGUUCCAUGCAAUUGUCACUUCUGCUACA
This is a long non-coding RNA of Hippopotamus amphibius kiboko, 188 nucleotides long. RefSeq lists it as uncharacterized. The record is from RefSeq and is a predicted model, not a curated record. Lineage: Eukaryota; Metazoa; Chordata; Mammalia; Artiodactyla; Hippopotamidae. The transcript has 3 exons.